This 396-nucleotide ribosomal RNA is filed under the name uncultured bacterium. RNAcentral's name for it is "bacterial SSU rRNA". It matches the Rfam family "Bacterial small subunit ribosomal RNA", at positions 29 to 416 of the family's 1533-position model. The record is from RNAcentral.
AACGAACGUUAGCGGUGUGGAUUAGGCAUGCAAGUCGCGCGCGAAAAUCCGCUAAGGAUAAGUAAAGCGGCGAAAGGGUGAGUAAGACGUAGCCAACCUACCUUCGAAAUCGGAAUAACUACUGGAAACGGUGGCUAAUGCUGGAUGUUUUUGCCGAAAGGCAUCUUUAGGCAAGGAAACGGCGGCGAAAGCUGCUGUUCGAAAACGGGGCUACGGGCUAUCAGCUAGUUGGUGAGGUAACGGCUCACCAAGGCGAUGACGGCUAGCCGAUCUGAGAGGAUGACCGGCCACACUGGGACUGAGAUACUGCCCAGACUCCUACGGGAGGCUGCAGUCGAGAAUCUUCCGCAAUGGGCGAAAGCCUGACGGAGCGACACCGCGUACAGGAUGAAGGCC